Molecule: ribosomal RNA, 467 nt
Filed under: uncultured bacterium
Lineage: Bacteria
Description: partial 16S ribosomal RNA
Rfam family: Bacterial small subunit ribosomal RNA
Source: RNAcentral
GACGAACGCUGACAGCAUGCUUAACACAUGCAAGUCGACCGGAAUUUGGGUUUUUUACUUAGGUUUGGGUGGCGGACGGGUGAGUAACGCGCAAAGGACUUGUCUCCCAGCUAGGGACAAAAUUUGGAAACGAAUGCUAAUACCUAAUAUAAUAAUACUAGCGCAUCCUAUAAUUAUGAAAACUAUAAGCGUUGUGGGAGAGAUUGGCGUCCCAUUAGCUAGUUGGGGAGGUAACGGCUCACCAAGGCGAUGAUGGGUAGCCGGCCUGAGAGGGUGAUCGGCACAAAGGGAACUGGGACACGGCCCUAACUCCUACGGGAGGAAACAGUGGGGACUAUUGGACAAUGGACGAAGAGUCUGAUACAAAAAUCGUGUGUGGAAGAUCAGGUUUUGGGGAAUAUAAAGUGUUUGCAUGUGAGAAGGAAGAAGUGACGGUAACGACAGAAGAAGUGACGGCUAAAUACGUG